CCCUUAGAUGUUCUGGGCUGCACGCGCGCUACACUGAUGCAUCCAGCGAGUUGUACCCUUGCUUGGUAAAGUUUGGUAAUCUGAGGCUAAUGUGCAUCGUGAUGGGAAUAGAGUUUUGCAACUAUUAGUCUUGAACGAGGAAUUCCUCGUAAGCACGAGUCAUCAGCUUGUGCUGAUUACGUCCCUGCCCUUUGUACACACCGCCCGUCGCACCUACCGAUUGAAUGGUCCGGUGAAAUCUCGGGACGGCGGCUUGGUCGCUUGCGUCCGACUGCUGAAACUUGAUUAAACCAUAUCAUUUAGAGGAAGGUGAAGUCGUAACA
This 323-nucleotide ribosomal RNA is filed under the name uncultured eukaryote. RNAcentral describes it as "partial 18S ribosomal RNA". It matches the Rfam family "Eukaryotic small subunit ribosomal RNA", at positions 1470 to 1796 of the family's 1831-position model. The record is from RNAcentral.